RNAcentral lists this unclassified non-coding RNA (295 nucleotides) under plant metagenome. RNAcentral's name for it is "partial contains small subunit ribosomal RNA, internal transcribed spacer 1, and 5.8S ribosomal RNA". The record is from RNAcentral.
UUUCCGUAGGUGAACCUGCGGAAGGAUCAUUAUUGAAUAAACUUGGUUGGGUUGUUCCUGGAUACUCGGAGCAUGUGCACGCUCGCUCCAUUUUUAACCACCUGUGCACCUUGUGUAGAUCUGAACAACUCUCGGGGUAUCUCGCUCAGAGGAUUGCUGUGUGUAGAAGUCAGCUUUUCUUGCGUUCAGAUCUAUGUCUCUAUAUACACCAUAAGAAUGUAUUGGAAUUUAAUUGACACGUGUUACAGCCUUUAAAAAUCAAAUACAACUUUCAACAACGGAUCUCUUGGCUCUC